CCUGGUAUGUUCCUACCAGUCUCUACGUGGGCGUGCUUGCUACGCGCUGUGUAGUCGGUGCGAAGCCCCACGGACAAUGUACCGAUCGGUUCAAAUGGUAACAGGCGAACCAUUCGAAGAAUCCUAACUUCGAUAAGGGC
Candidatus Magnetomorum sp. HK-1 is the source of this 140-nucleotide non-coding RNA. NCBI's taxonomy places the organism in Bacteria, Pseudomonadati, Thermodesulfobacteriota, Desulfobacteria, Desulfobacterales, Candidatus Magnetomoraceae. The record is from Rfam.